Molecule: ribosomal RNA, 1172 nt
Filed under: Klebsiella quasipneumoniae subsp. similipneumoniae
Lineage: Bacteria; Pseudomonadati; Pseudomonadota; Gammaproteobacteria; Enterobacterales; Enterobacteriaceae
Description: bacterial LSU rRNA
Rfam family: Bacterial large subunit ribosomal RNA
Source: RNAcentral
GGUAUAGACCCGAAACCCGGUGAUCUAGCCAUGGGCAGGUUGAAGGUUGGGUAACACUAACUGGAGGACCGAACCGACUAAUGUUGAAAAAUUAGCGGAUGACUUGUGGCUGGGGGUGAAAGGCCAAUCAAACCGGGAGAUAGCUGGUUCUCCCCGAAAGCUAUUUAGGUAGCGCCUCGUGAAUUCAUCUUCGGGGGUAGAGCACUGUUUCGGCUAGGGGGUCAUCCCGACUUACCAACCCGAUGCAAACUACGAAUACCGAAGAAUGUUAUCACGGGAGACACACGGCGGGUGCUAACGUCCGUCGUGAAGAGGGAAACAACCCAGACCGCCAGCUAAGGUCCCAAAGUCAUGGUUAAGUGGGAAACGAUGUGGGAAGGCACAGACAGCCAGGAUGUUGGCUUAGAAGCAGCCAUCAUUUAAAGAAAGCGUAAUAGCUCACUGGUCGAGUCGGCCUGCGCGGAAGAUGUAACGGGGCUAAACCAUGCACCGAAGCUGCGGCAGCGACGCUUAUGCGUUGUUGGGUAGGGGAGCGUUCUGUAAGCCUGCGAAGGUGGCCUGUGAGGGUUGCUGGAGGUAUCAGAAGUGCGAAUGCUGACAUAAGUAACGAUAAAGCGGGUGAAAAGCCCGCUCGCCGGAAGACCAAGGGUUCCUGUCCAACGUUAAUCGGGGCAGGGUGAGUCGACCCCUAAGGCGAGGCCGAAAGGCGUAGUCGAUGGGAAACAGGUUAAUAUUCCUGUACUUGGUGUUACUGCGAAGGGGGGACGGAGAAGGCUAUGUUAGCCGGGCGACGGUUGUCCCGGUUUAAGCAUGUAGGCUGGUUAUCCAGGCAAAUCCGGAUAAUCAAGGCUGAGGUGUGAUGACGAGGCACUACGGUGCUGAAGUAACAAAUGCCCUGCUUCCAGGAAAAGCCUCUAAGCAUCAGGUAACAUCAAAUCGUACCCCAAACCGACACAGGUGGUCAGGUAGAGAAUACCAAGGCGCUUGAGAGAACUCGGGUGAAGGAACUAGGCAAAAUGGUGCCGUAACUUCGGGAGAAGGCACGCUGGUGUGUAGGUGAAGCCCCUGCGGGUGGAGCUGAGACCAGUCGAAGAUACCAGCUGGCUGCAACUGUUUAUUAAAAACACAGCACUGUGCAAACACGAAAGUGGACGUAUACGGUGUGACGCCUG